This 1372-nucleotide ribosomal RNA is filed under the name uncultured bacterium. RNAcentral describes it as "bacterial SSU rRNA". It matches the Rfam family "Bacterial small subunit ribosomal RNA", at positions 28 to 1381 of the family's 1533-position model. The record is from RNAcentral.
GAUGAACGCUGGCGGCGUGCCUAAUACAUGCAAGUCGAGCGAACGGACGAGAAGCUUGCUUCUCUGAUGUUAGCGGCGGACGGGUGAGUAACACGUGGAUAACCUACCUAUAAGACUGGGAUAACUUCGGGAAACCGGAGCUAAUACCGGAUAAUAUUUUGAACCGCAUGGUUCAAAAGUGAAAGACGGUCUUGCUGUCACUUAUAGAUGGAUCCGCGCUGCAUUAGCUAGUUGGUAAGGUAACGGCUUACCAAGGCAACGAUGCAUAGCCGACCUGAGAGGGUGAUCGGCCACACUGGAACUGAGACACGGUCCAGACUCCUACGGGAGGCAGCAGUAGGGAAUCUUCCGCAAUGGGCGAAAGCCUGACGGAGCAACGCCGCGUGAGUGAUGAAGGUCUUCGGAUCGUAAAACUCUGUUAUUAGGGAAGAACAUAUGUGUAAGUAACUGUGCACAUCUUGACGGUACCUAAUCAGAAAGCCACGGCUAACUACGUGCCAGCAGCCGCGGUAAUACGUAGGUGGCAAGCGUUAUCCGGAAUUAUUGGGCGUAAAGCGCGCGUAGGCGGUUUUUUAAGUCUGAUGUGAAAGCCCACGGCUCAACCGUGGAGGGUCAUUGGAAACUGGAAAACUUGAGUGCAGAAGAGGAAAGUGGAAUUCCAUGUGUAGCGGUGAAAUGCGCAGAGAUAUGGAGGAACACCAGUGGCGAAGGCGACUUUCUGGUCUGUAACUGACGCUGAUGUGCGAAAGCGUGGGGAUCAAACAGGAUUAGAUACCCUGGUAGUCCACGCCGUAAACGAUGAGUGCUAAGUGUUAGGGGGUUUCCGCCCCUUAGUGCUGCAGCUAACGCAUUAAGCACUCCGCCUGGGGAGUACGACCGCAAGGUUGAAACUCAAAGGAAUUGACGGGGACCCGCACAAGCGGUGGAGCAUGUGGUUUAAUUCGAAGCAACGCGAAGAACCUUACCAAAUCUUGACAUCCUUUGACAACUCUAGAGAUAGAGCCUUCCCCUUCGGGGGACAAAGUGACAGGUGGUGCAUGGUUGUCGUCAGCUCGUGUCGUGAGAUGUUGGGUUAAGUCCCGCAACGAGCGCAACCCUUAAGCUUAGUUGCCAUCAUUAAGUUGGGCACUCUUAGUUGACUGCCGGUGACAAACCGGAGGAAGGUGGGGAUGACGUCAAAUCAUCAUGCCCCUUAUGAUUUGGGCUACACACGUGCUACAAUGGACAAUACAAAGGGCAGCGAAACCGCGAGGUCAAGCAAAUCCCAUAAAGUUGUUCUCAGUUCGGAUUGUAGUCUGCAACUCGACUACAUGAAGCUGGAAUCGCUAGUAAUCGUAGAUCAGCAUGCUACGGUGAAUACGUUCCCGGGUCU